RNAcentral lists this ribosomal RNA (869 nucleotides) under uncultured Caminicella sp. Its description in RNAcentral is "bacterial SSU rRNA". It matches the Rfam family "Bacterial small subunit ribosomal RNA", at positions 52 to 921 of the family's 1533-position model. Lineage: Bacteria; Bacillati; Bacillota; Clostridia; Peptostreptococcales; Caminicellaceae. The record is from RNAcentral.
UACCNUGCAGUCGAGCGGACCAAUGCUCAUUUCAGCUUUACUGAUUUGAGCAUUGGUUAGCGGCGGACGGGUGAGUAACGCGUGGGCAACCUGCCCUGUGCAGGGGGAUAACACAGCGAAAGCUGUGCUAAUACCCCAUAAGACUACGCUAUCGCAUGAUAGAGUAGUCAAAGCUUUAGCGGCACAGGAUGGGCCCGCGUCUGAUUAGCUAGUUGGUGGGGUAACGGCCUACCAAGGCGACGAUCAGUAGCCGACCUGAGAGGGUGAUCGGCCACACUAGAACUGAGACACGGUCCAGACUCCUACGGGAGGCAGCAGUGGGGAGUAUUGCACAAUGGGGGAAACCCUGAUGCAGCAACGCCGCGUGAGCGAAGAAGGCCUUCGGGUCGUAAAGCUCUGUCCUAAGGGAAGAAGUAUGACGGUACCUUAGAAGGAAGCCCCGGCUAACUACGUGCCAGCAGCCGCGGUAAUACGUAGGGGGCGAGCGUUAUCUGGAAUCACUGGGCGUAAGGGUGCGUAGGCGGCCGAGUAAGCCAGAGGUGAAAGGCUACGGCUUAACCGUAGUAAGCCUUUGGAACUACUUGGCUUGAGUGCAGGAGAGGAGAGUGGAAUUCCUAGUGUAGCGGUGAAAUGCGUAGAUAUUAGGAGGAACACCAGUGGCGAAGGCGACUCUCUGGACUGUAACUGACGCUGANGCACGAAAGCGUGGGGAGCAAACAGGAUUAGAUACCCUGGUAGUCCACGCCGUAAACGAUGAGUGCUANGGUGUCGGGGGUUCACACCCUCGGGUGCCGGAGUUNACGCAAUAAGCACUCCGCCUGGGGAGUACGGUCGCNAGACUGAAACUCAAAGGNANUUGGACGGGGACC